Molecule: long non-coding RNA, 355 nt
Filed under: Fukomys damarensis (Damara mole-rat)
Lineage: Eukaryota; Metazoa; Chordata; Mammalia; Rodentia; Bathyergidae
Description: lncRNA (ENSFDAG00000031165.1)
Source: RNAcentral
CUCAGCGAUGCCGGCGGCUCACCGCAGUGAUGCUCUUUGGCCACAGGAGACCAGGCUGGCUGUGGUUUCUCUGCCGCGGAUAAGUUCUGUGUGCGGGGAACAUAGCUGAAGAACUACCUGGAUGCCCCUGUGACCCUGGGAUAUACCUGCCACCACCUUACGGCCUCUGGAAUGGGGCUGCUGUUUCCUCAAUUGAAAUCUCUUCCCCCAAGUGGAAGCAGAAACAACUCCCAACUCAUAUAUACGAUCAUCACACAAAUGCUGGCACCUGGACCUCUCACACAUUUCUAAUGAGAAGGUAAAAUGGUACACUCAUUCUGGAAAGCAGUUUGGCAUUUUCUUUAAAAACACAAAA